UGUGGUCAAAAAUUUUCUCUCUCUCAGGGGCCCGUGCGGUGGCGGAUCCCUCCUUUCAGGCAAAGGUGCAACUCGCUGUGACAGCCGCAAAUUGUGCAUCUUUUGCCUACUUCUUUUGUGGGACGGCCCCGUUGAUCGUACGCAUCGUCAAAACGGAAAGGGAGAUCACCAACUCCUGGCCAGCCUUUUAUUUGAAAUUGAGUGAAGAGGUGGAAACUGAGUGAAGAGAAACAGACAGUGGCCUUAAGCAUUCAAGUGAAUUUUAUUUUGCUGCUUAUAUAAACUUUAAUUUAAGGGUGCCCUGUAAUAUGCGAGUAGUUGUAAUUAUUCGCAUUUGUAUGUAACCGUAUGUCUUUAAUGGUGUUAUUUUGAGACUCAAAAGUAUCACUAUUUAUAUACUACUGAAUGUUUAAGCAUUAGUCCCAUAUGGAGGUCUUGCACCUAUUUCUUUGCAAAAUGUUUUGUGUGAAUGGAAGUUCCUUCAAGUCUCACCAGAUCAAAAAAACAUCACUAUUCAUGUCACAAAAGAAAGAAAAAAGAGAGGUAAACUGGAAAAGCAAAUAAAAUGAGGAGUACAAGAAAAGAAAAUUCUCAUUAAAUCAGGUAUGGUUAAUGUUGCAAACCAAUCUGUAACUGAAUCAAUAGAGGGUUGUUCAAUCUGCUUGGUAGCAGUGCUGUUGUUCGACUAGCAAUCAAGGUAGAAAAGAGAACAGCAGGAGCACCACACUGCCAAUAUUAUCAUUUUUCAUCUUAUAGUGCAGAGGUAUUUCUUCCUAGUGGGAAUGUGUUGCUCUGGUACACAGAGAAGAGGUCUCUAUACACUUUUUAAGGGCCGUUGUGCUUGAUCGGGGACUUGAACCUGACGGUUGUAUCUGACAUUCAAAUAUAUUUGGAAAAGAUUAUCAAUCAGGGCUUAGACAGAGGUUAAUAUCAGAGAUAUAAGGAACUUAAUCGAGAAGAACAGCUGGCAUGGCCUGGGUGGGCCUCAUUCUGAACGUUAUGUUCUCGAUUCUAGAGGUACUCUUGUUGUACGACAAGCUGUGAAGGCUCAUACUUGGACAUUGCCUCGUUUUUUCUAUUCUGGUUGUGCAGACAAGUCCAAAGAAUGUAAAGGAUAAAUUUCUCGUUUAUAAAUAUAGUGCUUCUGAACUUAGUGGGACUAAUGACACCAUAAAAUGGCAGGGAUGUUCCAUCCUUUAUGUUGAAUGAUUUACUUCUGCUUCUCUUCUCGCAAACACGAUUUUAUGCGUAUCCAUUUAUCAAGUAGUAUGUUUUUGUCUAUUUGUGUUUGCCAUUCAUAUAUUUCACGUUUUUUGCAGAUUACAUUCAGUCUUCUUUUUUCUUUUGUGAUCGCUUUCGUACCAGACACUCUGAGUGCAGCACCUGAUAAAGCAUCUGUUCUGUCCCAGGUAAUGGCAGCCGGAAAUGAUCCAAAUCUUGAGGGCUUUGUCAUUACCAUAAGGCCGGCUUGGGAUGUACACUAGAUGUUAAUAGAAGACGCUCUUACUGGAAGGGAUUCUAUUUCAAGUGGUUCAUCAAGUGAUUUGGGUUAUCUACAGUUGUGCUUGGAAGUGUUUUUUUUCAAAGAACAAUAUGUACAACGCCUAUCUUCAGAAGUUGAUCACCUAUUCACCUGCUUCUUACUCACCCACUUGCCAGAGACAAGGUCAAAGAAUCAAAGAAUUAAAGGAGAGGGCUAUGAGCGUGCUUAGUCCAUACUGCCUGGUUGGGUUACAUGAGCU
Rosa chinensis is the source of this 1742-nucleotide long non-coding RNA. RefSeq lists it as uncharacterized. NCBI's taxonomy places the organism in Eukaryota, Viridiplantae, Streptophyta, Magnoliopsida, Rosales, Rosaceae. The transcript is spliced from 8 exons. The record is from RefSeq and is a predicted model, not a curated record.